CUAUGCGCCUUGCCAGCCCGCUCAGUCAGAGUUUGAUCCUGGCUCAGGAUGAACGCUAGCGGCAGGCCUAACACAUGCAAGUCGAGGGGUAUAAUUAGCUUGCUAAUUAGAGACCGGCGGAUGGGUGAGUAACGCGUAUGCAAUCUACCUUUCACAAGGGAAUAGCCCAGAGAAAUUUGGAUUAAUGCCCUAUGGUUUAUUACUAAGGCAUCUUAGAAAUAAUAAAGAUUUAUCGGUGAGAGAUGAGCAUGCGUCUCAUUAGCUAGUUGGUAUGGUAACGGCAUACCAAGGCAAUGAUGAGUAGGGGUCCUGAGAGGGAGAUCCCCACACUGGUACUGAGACACGGACCAG
RNAcentral lists this ribosomal RNA (351 nucleotides) under uncultured bacterium. RNAcentral describes it as "bacterial SSU rRNA". It matches the Rfam family "Bacterial small subunit ribosomal RNA", at positions 1 to 334 of the family's 1533-position model. The record is from RNAcentral.